Molecule: ribosomal RNA, 253 nt
Filed under: uncultured bacterium
Lineage: Bacteria
Description: partial 16S ribosomal RNA
Rfam family: Bacterial small subunit ribosomal RNA
Source: RNAcentral
UACGGGGGGGGCAAGCGUUGUUCGGAAUUACUGGGCGUAAAGCGCACGUAGGCGGAUUGCUAAGUCAGGGGUGAAAUCCUGGAGCUCAACUCCAGAACUGCCUUUGAUACUGGCGACCUUGAGUCCGGGAGAGGUGAGUGGAACUGCGAGUGUAGAGGUGAAAUUCGUAGAUAUUCGCAAGAACACCAGUGGCGAAGGCGGCUCACUGGCCCGGUACUGACGCUGAGGUGCGAAAGCGUGGGGAGCAAACAGG